GAGCCAUUAAAGACAUGUCCCCAAAGAGCAGGCCCUUUGCCACAUUGUGUGACAACCAGCAGGUGCAAAGCCAUAGCUGACCUUUGGUGCCGACCCUGCUGUGAUUGUCCUUAGGCUGUGGCCUCAGAAUGGAAAAGCUUCACCAGCUUUGCUCCUGGUAGUAAAGCAUGGCACUAGGUGGGCUGACUGCUGCAUGGGUCACUUCCACUCACCUGGUGGGAUGGUCAGACGGAGCAGAAGGAUGGCAGGAUACUUCAUCGAACUAGUGGCAAUGGACAUGCAUCUCACUGCUAAAUUUUGUUGUAUAUUCUUUGUAUAGCAUUAAUGUUUAUGGUACUUUACAAAGUACAAGUGGAGAGGAUCCUGUCUUCGAGGUUUUUUUUAAUGACCUAAAUAGAAAGGAAGAUACAUAUUUAUGUUACUUAUAUGGUCUUGAAUGUGGUUGCAGUUGCUGUACACAAGUUUUCCUGUUCUCUCCAAGAUUCAUUGUGCAUUUUAGGAGCCAGAAUUGAUUCCAUUGGGACAGCAAGGCAGAGUUGCAGAACUGGAUCCACUUUGGGUUUACCUAACUAGUGAUAUAUCCUGCAGAAGGCUUUGGCAUGGGAUGGGAAGCAUCACAAGGGAUGACCAAAAGUCCAUUAAAGCAGAACGGGGACCCGGUGUCUUCCGACUGAAAGCCACCUUGGCCUGCUAUCAAAGGCAAGAGCAUCAAUUCUGGAUGCAAGGAAAGGAGCAAGUAAACAAACCACCAGAGACCGAGGAUUGAAGAGCUACUGUUCUGAAUAACACCUUGAUGUCUUAGACCUCCUAAUCUUUGGCUGCUUAAAGCCACAGGUGCAGUCUCUGGGCCAAUUAAUAGUGGCAAUUGUGAUCCUGAAGUAAUUCAUUCCAGUCUUGCCAGGAAAGAAUGAGGGCUGUGGCUCUAUCGGAGGCAGGAAAUGGAAUCUCAAUCAGAAUUGCCACUCCUGUUGUGAAACCCAUUUGUAAAAGAGACGACCCACUAUGACUGCUUACAGAAGACGGAAUUCUGUGACAUUGUCUCUGCUUUAUUUAAAAUCAAGUGUCUCAAAUGGGAAGGUGGAUCCUAUUCUGUUUUUAGUAGGGUCCUCUGGCUGUUGCUGGUGGAGGAGCUUGUCUCGCCUAUCUUGAUCUUUGUGCCCUGAUUGAUUGGACCUGAAGGCAGAGAAUCAAUCUUCCACAUUUUCCAGUCCUCAGCCACUGGGUGUCUCUGUCCCUUUCUUCCAGUCAUCCCUGUACCACCAUUAAAAGGACAGUGAGGAAAGUUUUCUGUUUUCCAUGAAUAAUUCUCUGAGGUUGAACCAAUUUUUUCUCCUUUCAAAAAUUUAAAAUAUGUGUCCGGGUCCAGAAGGUAACUCUCUCUUUCAUCUUUCUUCUUUAAACAAAAGGGAGGGAGGGAUGUUUGGACACUUUGCAUUAUGGUGAAAAGUCUCUGAAUCUUGGGUACCGUCACUAGAGCAGAUCUUGUUGUAAUCAUAGACACAAUUAUUAGGGCCAAUAAUGAUGACAGUGCUGAUGACAGUGCAGAAGAAUAACAAACAGUGAAGAGACAGGGAACAUAUCUAACCAAAUAUUCUGGUUAGACCCAAACUAGAUGAUAGGCUUAUGAUUUUGUGGUGUAAUUAUCUCUCCCAGGCUUGAAAAUAAAUAGCUAUGGGGAUCUCUUGUCCA
Molecule: long non-coding RNA, 1689 nt
Organism: Pogona vitticeps (central bearded dragon)
Lineage: Eukaryota; Metazoa; Chordata; Lepidosauria; Squamata; Agamidae
Source: Ensembl